RNAcentral lists this long non-coding RNA (378 nucleotides) under Theobroma cacao (cacao). RNAcentral's name for it is "long non-coding RNA (TCAC_LNC005095)". The record is from RNAcentral. Lineage: Eukaryota; Viridiplantae; Streptophyta; Magnoliopsida; Malvales; Malvaceae.
AAACAUUUCAAUGGAAUAUAUCCUGUCGUAUGAUGCCUCCAUUUCAAAUGAGCUUAUGUCUGCAACAAUGAUCUCCACAUUCUGUAACUGAUGAUCCCUGUUAAGGUAACAAAAAAUAGUUUCAAAACUCAAAGCAAUUAACAUGUUAAUACUAUCAUUUAUACAUAGCAAGUAGCAUAUUUACCGGCAUUGCUCCUCUAUAAAAGCUUUCUGUGUGGUGGAAUUGCAGAUUCCUGUGACCCUGCAAUUGGGAUAUUUCCGGGCAAUGUGCAGAGAAAGUGAACCCCAUCCACACCCCACAUCAAGAACUGUGUGCCCAUCUUUCAAUUGCGACCUCUCACAGUACAGCUCUAACAUUGCUUCCUCAGCAUCCUCCAA